UACGUAGGGCGCAAGCGUUGUCCGGAAUUUAUUGGGCGUAAAGAGCUCGUAGGCGGCUUGUCACGCGGUGUGAAAUCCCCGAGGCUCAACCUCGGGUCUGCAGUCGAUACGGGCGGACUGGAGUUCGGCAGGGGAGACUGGAAUUCCUGGUGUAGCGGUGAAAUGCGCAGAUAUCAGGAGGAACACCGGUGGCGAAGGCGGGUCUCUGGGGCCGAUACUGACGCUGAGGAGCGAAAAGCGUGGGGGAGCGAACAGG
This 256-nucleotide ribosomal RNA is filed under the name uncultured bacterium. Its description in RNAcentral is "partial 16S ribosomal RNA". It matches the Rfam family "Bacterial small subunit ribosomal RNA", at positions 524 to 776 of the family's 1533-position model. The record is from RNAcentral.